Molecule: RNA transcript, 1974 nt
Organism: Salvia splendens (bonfire salvia)
Lineage: Eukaryota; Viridiplantae; Streptophyta; Magnoliopsida; Lamiales; Lamiaceae
Exons: 5
Source: RefSeq, a predicted model, not a curated record
CUCUAUAUUUUCUUGUAUUUUUUUAUGAUUCAUUUUUAAGUCUUUUUGUUUUUUUUGGUUUCUUGUUUUCUUUUUGAGCUGUACAUGUUUUCUUUAUUGCUCCCUCGCUUUUAUAAAUAUGCAAAUUUGGGCCUGUAUUUGUUGAGAGAUUGGAUCUUUGAGUCUUUAGUCGUUGUUGGUGUGAAAAAGAUUGUAACUUGUGGAAAUAUUACUGGGAUUUUAUAUUUCAGAUCAGAUAUCUUGACAUCAGUUCCAUUAUUACUCGUAAUUUGAUGUGAAUUUAGUUCCCUUUUUGUUGAAUGCAAUCUUUGAAUGUAUGGGGGAUUUGUAAGAUUGAGAUAGUUAGGUGCUCUGGGGGGGUUUUGAAUUAUGGAGGUAGGUAAAAAAGAUUUAAUUUUUUCUGCAUUCAGAAGAAAAUUUGCCUCAAGAAUUUUGUGGGUUGUAGGCAUUUAGUGUUCGGAGAGUGUGUGGCGAUGACGAAUGGUUUCAUGGGUUAUCGUAUACGCUGUGAGAAAGAAAAGGAUAUGAAAAAGUAUUUUAAGUCUUUGAUUCUUGAAUCUAAUUGUGAGCAACUGGAUAUGCUUUCAAAAUAUGUACCUGUUUCCAUCACUCCAUAGCAUGUGAUGCGGUGAGAUUCGGGGAACAGCUCAUGCUGUUAUUACUCGUCGUUAAGUAUGAUUAUAAGAUGCUUAUGUUUAGUUCUCAUUUCAUCAGGUAAAAAACCAAAAUGAUUGAAUUUGUAUAUGACUUGACUUUCUAUAGAUCUUUGUUAGAAAGCAAGUUUUGGAGAUUUUUGGAGUUGUUAUUCGACUUUGCUGGCUAUCAAUACUUGGGCAUACGCGGGAGCAGAUCACUAUUUCGAAUAAAGCUCCAGUAUUUCUUCGAUCCAGUUGCUGUACUUGGCACAACAUUGAACGAGCAGUUCAAGAUCCCUACUUUCCGAAACUUACUAAAAGCGAAUGUUAAUUCGUUCAAGGUAUGAUGGAAAUUAACGGUAAAGUUUCCCACAAGAAUGAAAAGAAGCCUUUGGAGAACUCUGCUCCUGCCAGUGUACCUAAAAGGCUACCAGAGAAUAAUUCGAGCACUUCUAUAUUUGUCAAUCAUGCUGCAAUUGCAUGGGAUGAGAGCAGAAGAAAAUGGGUCGGAAAUGCUCCUCAGAGGUCGGAGGACAGAUCCAUGAAGGAUCCGGUUAUAAGCUGGACCACUACCUACGAAGAUCUGCUCUUGACUCACGAGCCAUUCUCCGAGCCAAUCCCUUUACCUGGAAGUUACCCCGUCUUUGGAUUUCAUGCUCCAUGAUGUUACAGUACAUGUAGAGAUGGUCGACUUUUUGGUUGAUAUCUGGCAUGACGAGGGGCUCUUUGAUUAGAACAACUCCUUACUGAAUAGUUCAGGCAUCUAUAAGACUAUAACCCUCCCCUCUCUCCAUUAUCUCAGAUUCGAAUUUCAAAGCAAUAAUCGACUCCCACGCCUCCUCAGAAUGGUGAUGUCCCGGCAACUGCAAACCUUGUUCCUUUGUUGUACCAUUCAUUAGGUUAUUCUCGAUCCUACAUGUAUUCUAGUUCUGUACUCGUUUUAGCUUGUGUUCUUCGAUUCUACAAGUGAUAGCAUAUCCGAGACGGAGACGUUUAGUUAUUUAGGUAGUGCCUGGCUCGCCCCAUGAGGAACUCGACCGUGUGUAUCUUAUCCGGCCUCAUUGGUCUAGUUUAUAUCCUAGAGUUUGCAAAGUCAAGUUCUUGAUAGCUGCGCCCUGAAAGGCUUGACGUAUAAAGAACUCGACUGGCUAAAUCGGAACGUGACCGGGCCCAUAUCCGGUUCCGGUCUAGUCUAUGUAGUAGGGUUGUUGUAAAUCAAAAUUGAACCUCUUUCUAUUGGGAACUAUUUGGAUAUUUAACAUUUAGUAAUGCCUCAUUUCUAAUAUUGCUUGUAGAAUCUAAAUUUUUUAUAGCAUCAUAGCUUCUUUUUUUGUUGGUA